AACAGGUCAGCUUCCCAAGUGAAAAUAGCUGCUUUACCUUCUGGGGUGGCUGAACAUCUGCCUGCCCAUCAGAAAUGUUACACAGAACCACAACACUUCUCCACUGGGAUUACUGUUUUAUAGGU
Lonchura striata (white-rumped munia) is the source of this 125-nucleotide non-coding RNA. Lineage: Eukaryota; Metazoa; Chordata; Aves; Passeriformes; Estrildidae. The record is from RefSeq and is a predicted model, not a curated record.